RNAcentral lists this ribosomal RNA (259 nucleotides) under uncultured bacterium. RNAcentral describes it as "partial 16S ribosomal RNA". It matches the Rfam family "Bacterial small subunit ribosomal RNA", at positions 78 to 339 of the family's 1533-position model. The record is from RNAcentral.
GCUUGCUCUUGGUGGCGAGUGGCGGACGGGUGAGUAACGCGUAGGAAUCUACCCAAUAGCGGGGGAUAGCCCGGGGAAACUCGGAUUAAUACCGCAUACGCCCUACGGGGGAAAGGCCGGGAUCUUCGGACCGGUCAUUAUUGGAGGAGCCUGCGUAGGAUUAGCUAGUUGGUGAGGUAAGGGCUCACCAAGGCGACGAUCCUUAGCUGGUCUGAGAGGACGAUCAGCCACACUGGAACUGAGAUACGGCCCAGACUCC